Molecule: non-coding RNA, 131 nt
Organism: Armillaria novae-zelandiae
Lineage: Eukaryota; Fungi; Basidiomycota; Agaricomycetes; Agaricales; Physalacriaceae
Source: the annotation of a GenBank genome assembly
GGUGAGAUGGCCGAGCGGUCUAAGGCGCCAGACUAAGGUUGAUCUUACGAUCUAUCCUCACAAGGACCAAAUCACUUGGUGAUUAGCUAAUCUGGUCCGAAAGGGCGUGGGUUCGAAUCCCACUCUCAUCA